UACGGAGGAUCCGAGCGUUAUCCGGAUUUAUUGGGUUUAAAGGGUGCGCAGGCGGGAGAUUAAGUCGGCGGUGAAAUUUUGCAGCUCAACUGUAACAGUGCCGUUGAUACUGGGGAGCUAGGAUUUGGUUGCUGUGGGUGGAAUGUGUGGUGUAGCGGUGAAAUGCUUAGAGAUCACACAGAAUAUCGAUUGCGAAGGCAGCUCACAAAGCCAAGAUUGACGCUGAGGCACGAAAGUGUGGGGAUCAAACAGGA
Molecule: ribosomal RNA, 254 nt
Filed under: uncultured prokaryote
Description: partial 16S ribosomal RNA
Rfam family: Bacterial small subunit ribosomal RNA
Source: RNAcentral